GAAUAUUGCGCAAUGGGGGAAACCCUGACGCAGCAACGCCGCGUGGAGGAAGAAGGCCUUCGGGUCGUAAACUCCUGUCUUUUGGGACGAUAAUGACGGUACCAAAGGAGGAAGCCACGGCUAACUACGUGCCAGCAGCCGCGGUAAUACGUAGGUGGCGAGCGUUGUCCGGAAUUACUGGGCGUAAAGGGUGCGUAGGCGGAAUCUUAAGUCAGAUGUGAAAUUCCUGGGCUCAACCUGGGAACUGCAUUUGAAACUGAGGUUCUAGAGUGCAGGAGAGGAAAGCGGAAUUCCUAGUGUAGCGGUGAUAUGCGUAGAUAUUAGGAAGAACACCAGUGGCGAAGGCGGCUUUCUGGACUGUAACUGACGCUGAGGCACGAAAGCGUGGGGAGCAAACAGG
Molecule: ribosomal RNA, 400 nt
Filed under: uncultured bacterium
Lineage: Bacteria
Description: partial 16S ribosomal RNA
Rfam family: Bacterial small subunit ribosomal RNA
Source: RNAcentral